AUUGAACGCUGGCGGCAGGCCUAACACAUGCAAGUCGAGCGGAUGAAGAGAGCUUGCUCUCUGAUUCAGCGGCGGACGGGUGAGUAAUGCCUAGGAAUCUGCCUGGUAGUGGGGGACAACGUUUCGAAAGGAACGCUAAUACCGCAUACGUCCUACGGGAGAAAGCAGGGGACCUUCGGGCCUUGCGCUAUCAGAUGAGCCUAGGUCGGAUUAGCUAGUUGGUGAGGUAAUGGCUCACCAAGGCGACGAUCCGUAACUGGUCUGAGAGGAUGAUCAGUCACACUGGAACUGAGACACGGUCCAGACUCCUACGGGAGGCAGCAGUGGGGAAUAUUGGACAAUGGGCGAAAGCCUGAUCCAGCCAUGCCGCGUGUGUGAAGAAGGUCUUCGGAUUGUAAAGCACUUUAAGUUGGGAGGAAGGGUAGUAACCUAAUACGUUGCUACUUUGACGUUACCGACAGAAUAAGCACCGGCUAACUUCGUG
This 484-nucleotide ribosomal RNA is filed under the name uncultured bacterium. RNAcentral describes it as "bacterial SSU rRNA". It matches the Rfam family "Bacterial small subunit ribosomal RNA", at positions 30 to 507 of the family's 1533-position model. The record is from RNAcentral.